Molecule: long non-coding RNA, 564 nt
Filed under: Notechis scutatus (mainland tiger snake)
Lineage: Eukaryota; Metazoa; Chordata; Lepidosauria; Squamata; Elapidae
Description: lncRNA (ENSNSUG00000013465.1)
Source: RNAcentral
GUUUUGGAAGUGGAAUUAGGCUUAUCCCAGUUUCUGCUGAAAUUAAAGCAAGUCUUUUGACUUAAGUCAAAUACGCCAUCCUCCUUAAAUAAAGUUGAAAAGUGUGGACGGGAAAGGACAUAAUGGGGAUACGGUUGCUUGAAAUGCUACAAGUAAAAGGAAGCUGUUAAGAUUCUGAAGUAUGGCUGAAGAUGCAAAAUCACCCAGGAAGGAUGAAUUCUUUAUAUUUCAGGACAGUUGCACCAUGCAGAGUUCAGCAAGCAACUAUGAUCUCUGGGUUGUAUUGACAAAAAGGAGGAAUCCUCUAAGAAUAGCAAUCAUGAACGCGGCCAGGAAUAAAACGAGGACACCAUUAUAAAAUUAUAAAGUUGGAGUACAGCUUCAAAACUUCAUUCAGCUUUUAUUUGAAGAAUCCCUCUUGAAACUUGAGAGUCCUAAGCUACUUGAUCGAAUAUAUUGCUCCUGUGAAACAGAAGGGAGAAACUAUGUCUGCAUAAGAACAAUGCUUGAAUUGAGUAUUCGUGAAAACUAUGUAAACUUUCAGUCAUUAAAUGAUUCCAAAAU